GACGAACGCUGGCGGCGUGCCUAAUACAUGCAAGUAGAACGCACAGUUUAUACCGUAGCUUGCUACACCAUAAACUGUGAGUUGCGAACGGGUGAGUAACGCGUAGGUAACCUGCCUGGUAGCGGGGGAUAACUAUUGGAAACGAUAGCUAAUACCGCAUAAUAUUGAUUAUUGCAUGAUAAUUGAUUGAAAGAUGCUAUUGCAUCACUACCAGAUGGACCUGCGUUGUAUUAGCUAGUAGGUGAGGUAACGGCUCACCUAGGCGACGAUACAUAGCCGACCUGAGAGGGUGAUCGGCCACACUGGGACUGAGACACGGCCCAGACUCCUACGGGAGGCAGCAGUAGGGAAUCUUCGGCAAGGGACGAAAGUCUGACCGAGCAACGCCGCGGGAGUGAAGAAGGUUUUCGGAUCGUAAAGCUCUGUUGUAAGAGAAGAACGGGUGUGAGAGUGGAAAGUUCACACUGUGACGGUAUCUUACCAGAAAGGGACGGCUAACUACGUG
Molecule: ribosomal RNA, 505 nt
Filed under: uncultured bacterium
Lineage: Bacteria
Description: partial 16S ribosomal RNA
Rfam family: Bacterial small subunit ribosomal RNA
Source: RNAcentral